CUGAGGAGGAGGAAGAUGAGGAUGAGGAGGAUGAGGAUGGAGGCGCUGAGGAUGAGGAAGAUGGGGGCACUGAGGAAGAGGAGGAAGAGGAGGAGGAUGGAGGCAUUGAAGAUGAGGAGGAUGAUGAUGGGGUGCUGAGGACAAGGAUGAAGGCACUGAGGAGGAGGAGGAGGAAGAUGGGGGCGCUGAGGAGGACGAGGAUGAGGAGGAUGAGGAUGGAGGCAGUGAGGAUGAGGAAGAUGGGGGCACCGAGGAAGAUGAGGAGGAGGAGGAAGAUGAGGAUGGAGAUGAUGAGGAUGAGGAUGAUGAUGGGGGCACUGAGGACAAGGAUGAAGGCACUGAGGACGAGGAGGAGGAAGAUGGGGGAGCUGAGGAGGAGGAAGAUGAGGAUGAGGAGGAUGAGGAUGGAGGCACUGAGGAGGAGGAAGAUGGGGGCACUGAGGAAGAGGAGGAGGAAGAUGAGGAUGGAGAUGCUGAGGAUGAUGAUGAUGGGGGCGCUGAGGACAAGGAUGAAGGCACUGAGGAGAAAGAGGAGGAAGAUGAGGAUGAGGAGGGCGAGGCCCC
This 564-nucleotide long non-coding RNA is filed under the name Anser cygnoides (Swan goose). RNAcentral's name for it is "lncRNA (ENSACDG00005006822.1)". Lineage: Eukaryota; Metazoa; Chordata; Aves; Anseriformes; Anatidae. The record is from RNAcentral.